This 535-nucleotide small RNA is filed under the name Pan troglodytes (chimpanzee). RNAcentral describes it as "processed transcript". Lineage: Eukaryota; Metazoa; Chordata; Mammalia; Primates; Hominidae. The record is from RNAcentral.
AUUCUUUGCUGUUAACUUGCCUGCUGUGCUUAGGAAUUAAGAGUCCGUAGGAUACCAAAUUUUCAUCAGACUUUUUUGAUGCAUCUGCUUGGGAUGUAUAAAGAAACUGGAGAUGUUAAGAAUGCUGUGUUUGAAUUUAAUUUUUCUAAGUUUUGUGUGUUUUCUCUUAGAAUUUGUGUCUUAAGGUGGUUAAAGAUAGUGAUGGGCUCUUGAUUUAUUGGCAUAAGUUAUAUGAAGAUACUGGUUUAGGCAGAGAUUGUCAAGAGGCUGAAUGCUAUCUGUGCACAAGUCAUUCCUUUCCUGUCCCAAGAGCACCAGCAACAAGUGGUGCAGGCUGUGGAACGGGCCAAGCAGGUGACCAUGGCAGAACUGAACGCCAUCAUUGGGCAGCAACAACUCCAGGCCCAGCAUUUAUCACAUGGACAUGGUCUCCCCGUACCUCUGACUCCACACCCUUCAGGGCUCCAGCCCCCUGCCAUUCCACCGAUCGGUAGCAGUGCCGGGCUUCUGGCCCUCUCCAGUGCUCUAGGAGGUC